This 24-nucleotide non-coding RNA is filed under the name Arabidopsis thaliana (thale cress). The record is from RNAcentral. Lineage: Eukaryota; Viridiplantae; Streptophyta; Magnoliopsida; Brassicales; Brassicaceae.
CUUGAUUAUGUUGUUAUAUACGAU